RNAcentral lists this ribosomal RNA (1216 nucleotides) under metagenome. RNAcentral describes it as "SSU rRNA". It matches the Rfam family "Eukaryotic small subunit ribosomal RNA", at positions 500 to 1774 of the family's 1831-position model. The record is from RNAcentral.
UUCACGGUAUUGCAAUGAGAACAAUUUACAACCCUUAGCGAGAAUCAAGUGGAGGACAAGUCUGGUGCCAGCACCCGCGGUAAUUCCAGCUCCACUAGCGUAUAUUAAAGUUGUUGCAGUUAAAAAGCUCGUAGUUGAACCUCUGUCUGGGGCUAGUUUUGGCUUUGGUCAGGCUAGUUCUAGGCAUCCACCUACAAGACUUAGAGGGCAUUCAGUUGUUCACUAGGAGGAGUAGGCAUUUUACUUUGAAAAAAUUAGAGUGUUUAAGGCAGGCAAUCGCCCGCAUAUAUUAGCAUGGAAUAAUAGAAUAGGACACUUUUCCAUUUCGUUGGUUAUUGGAAUCGUGUAAUGAUUAAUAGGGACAGUUGUGGGCAUUUGUAUUUAAUUGUCAGAGGUGAAAUUCUUGGAUUUAUUAAAGACAAACUAACGCGAAAGCAUUUGCCAAGGAUGUUUUCAUUAAUCAAGAACGAAAGUUAGGGGAUCAAAGACGAUCAGAUACCGUCCUAGUCUUAACUAUAAACUAUUCCGACUCAAUGUUUGACUGGCUUAUAUAACCAGUUGAGCGUUGUAUGAGAAAUCAAAGUCUUUAGGUUCUGGGGGGAGUAUGGUUGCAAAGCUGAAACUUAAAGGAAUUGACGGAAGAGCACAACCAGGAGUGGAUUCUGCGGCUUAAUUUGACUCAACACGGGGAAACUUACCAGGUUAAAACAAUAGUGGGAUUGACAGUUUGAGAGCGCUUUCUUGAUUGGUUGGGUGGUGGUGCAUGGCCGUUCUUAGUUGGUGGAGUGAUUUGUCUGCUUAACUGCGUUAACGAACGAGACCUUAACCUGCUUACUAGACUGGCGAUCAUCAAUCGUUAGCUCUUCUUAGAGGGACUUUGGUUGUUUUAACUCCAAGGAAGUUUGAGGCAAUAACAGGUCUGUGAUGCCCUUAGAUAUCCUGGGCCGCACGCGUCAUACAAUGACUAGUUCAGAAAGUUUUCUCCUGACCCGAAAGGGGAUGGGUAAUCUUGAUAAUACUAGUCGUGUUAGGGAUCGAUCUUUGCAAUUAUAGAUCUUGAACGAGGAAUUCCUAGUAAGUGCGGUUCAUCAGACCGUACUGAUUACGUCCCUGCUCUUUGUACACACCGCCCGUCGCUUCUACCGAGUGGGUGGUCCGGUGAGAUAAUUGAACUUCGCAGGUAACUGAGAGGAAAGAUUAUCAAACCUAUCCACCU